Molecule: ribosomal RNA, 967 nt
Filed under: Triticum aestivum (bread wheat)
Lineage: Eukaryota; Viridiplantae; Streptophyta; Magnoliopsida; Poales; Poaceae
Description: partial small subunit ribosomal RNA
Source: RNAcentral
GGGGAAGAAAUGUAUCACAUCACAGAAACACACAUAUGUAUAUAUAUAACUGGUACUUGAGACAACAUAAAAAUCACAUGUACUGGAGCUAUCACAGGAACUUACAAACUGGAAUUUUCUGCAGCAAGCAGUACACAGGCUAAUAUGUAUAACAUAGAGACACCACUGAAUCACAAAAGUUUCAGAAAUUGUAAACUAAAUAUUGAACAGUUUUACACAUCUCAAGAACACCGAAAGCACAUUCAACACAAAGAUCACAAGUGAUCUGAAUUAUUAAAGUAAACUAACUGACAUACAGACACGAAUAGUACUGAUACACAACAGAAUAUAUUAGAGAGAGAUUCAGGUGUUCCUGUUCUUGAAACAGAGAGCGGCAAGAGGAGUGCAGUAGCAGUAGGGACAAGGGAGAGGUUCAGAGCAGAGCUUCAGCAAGUGAGGAGCGGCAGGGGACGCUGGAGAAGAAGAGCAGCAGCAAAGGGAUCAAAGAAGAAGCAACAAGCAGCGGAGGGAAGGAAAAGCAGCAGCAGGGAGGCGCAAGGAAGAGCAGCAGCAGAGAUGAGAGGGAAGAGCAGCAGCGUGGUAAGGAGCAGCGAGGUGAAGGAGAAGAAAGAAGAGGAGGUAGCAGCAGCAGGUUCAGGAAAGAAGAAGGGCAGCGGGGAUGCGGGAAGAAGGUUAGGAGAAGAAGAAAGGUUGAGCAGCAGCAGGGAUAUGGAUGGGCGGCGGCGCGAGGUGAUGAGGCGGCGCUGUGGAUGGUGGUGGAUGGAGGCGCAGGGUGAUGGUGGAGGUGUUGGUGGCGCGCUGGGGUGCGGUGGUGCUGGUGAUGGAUGGCGCGGAGGCGCACCACCACGUCGGCCUGGCCAUGGCGGCGGCCGGAGGUGAAGAAGGAGGGGUGAGGGAGAGAGAUGUGAUGCCAGGCCCGACGGGGAAUGGAGGCGAUCUAGGGAUUUUGUUCCCCUGCUCUCAUCUG